CAGCAAUGCAUGCGUGUACAAUCAAGAGACAACAGCUAAAGCAUGCUAAAAUGGGUCGAUUUUAGCAGUGCAAAAAACGAUACAAAUAAAGUUUUUCAAACUCAAACCACCAACCAAGAAGAACUCAUAUGAAAUACCAAGGCAACUUCAGAAAUAUUAACCUUUAAGCAUGGUACAAAUACAGCAUGAUCAAGUAAAAAACGACUGAGACAUACCUGAAACGCUUUGGUGAGGUUGG
RNAcentral lists this unclassified non-coding RNA (238 nucleotides) under Hevea brasiliensis (rubber tree). The record is from RNAcentral. Lineage: Eukaryota; Viridiplantae; Streptophyta; Magnoliopsida; Malpighiales; Euphorbiaceae.